Molecule: transfer RNA, 58 nt
Filed under: Amarygmini sp. ACP-2013
Lineage: Eukaryota; Metazoa; Arthropoda; Insecta; Coleoptera; Tenebrionidae
Description: tRNA-Ser
Source: RNAcentral
AAAUAUGUAAAGUUAAGCUUCUAACUUAAUAAAAAGCAUAAAUAUGUUUAUAUUUCUA